GAGGAAGUAAAAGUCGUAACAAGGUUUCCGUAGGUGAACCUGCGGAAGGAUCAUUAUCGAAUUUUGAAUYGAGUUGUAGCUGGCCUUUCGGCAUGUGCACGCUCGAGUCAUUCAUUCACAACCACUGUGCACUUUUUGGUAGGGUCGAUGACUCUGCUGUUUUAUUACAAACGCUUCAGUUACAGAAUGUUUAUUGUGCGCAACGCAUUUAUAUACAACUUUCAGCAACGGAUCUCUUGGCUCUCGCAUCGAUGAAGAACGCAGCGAAAUGCGAUAAGUAAUGUGAAUUGCAGAAUUCAGUGAAUCAUCAAAUCUUUGAACGCACCUUGCGCUCUUUGGUAUUCCAAAGAGCAUGCCUGUUUGAGUGUCAUGAAAUUCUCAAGUCUGUAGAUUUUUUAAUCUGCAUGACCUGGACUUGGAGGUUGUGUCGGCUUCAUCCGUCGACUCCUCUGAAAUGCAUUAGCGCGAACGUUUACAAAUUCAGUGUGAUAAUUAUCUGCGCUGUCGUUGUUAACUGUCUCCUGCUUUACCGUCUUUUAAAGACAAUUUUUGACAUCUGACCUCAAAUCAGGUAGGACUACCCGCUGAACUUAAGCAUAU
RNAcentral lists this ribosomal RNA (600 nucleotides) under Ceraceomyces microsporus. Its description in RNAcentral is "eukaryotic LSU rRNA". Lineage: Eukaryota; Fungi; Basidiomycota; Agaricomycetes; Amylocorticiales; Amylocorticiaceae. The record is from RNAcentral.